GUGCCAGACUCCUACGGGAGGCAGCAGUAGGGAAUUUUCGCCAAUGGGCGCAAGCCUGAACGAGCGAUGCCGCGUGAGUGAAGAAGGCCUUCGGGUCGUAAAGCUCUGUUGCGGGGGAAAAAAGGCAUCUGCAGGAAAUGGUAGAUGACAGAUGGUGCCCCGCCAGAAAGUCACGGCUAACUACGUGCCAGCAGCCGCGGUAAUACGUAGGGGGCAAGCGUUAUCCGGAUUUACUGGGUGUAAAGGGAGCGUAGACGGCAGUGCAAGUCUGAAGUGAAAGCCCCGGGCUUAACCCGGGAAUUGCUUUGGAAACUGUCCGGCUGGAGUGCUGGAGAGGUAAGCGGAAUUCCUAGUGUAGCGGUGAAAUGCGUAGAUAUUAGGAGGAACGCCAGCGGCGAAGGCGGCUUACUGGACAGUAACUGACGUUGAGGCUCGAAAGCGUGGGGAGCAAACAGGAUUAGAUACCCUUGUAA
RNAcentral lists this ribosomal RNA (473 nucleotides) under uncultured bacterium. RNAcentral describes it as "bacterial SSU rRNA". It matches the Rfam family "Bacterial small subunit ribosomal RNA", at positions 328 to 793 of the family's 1533-position model. The record is from RNAcentral.